CUUGCCUCAGCCACCCAGGUCUCUGGGAUUACAGGUGUGUGUCAUGGUACCCAGCAUAUCUAAUCAUUUGAUUCCUCUUGUAGCCUUUCUUUAGGGAAAUGAAAAUUUAUCUAGGAUGAGUCUGUGUGUGGCUGCCACUUCCUUGGAGCAUCCAAUAAGUAGGCCACUAUGGCCUCUGUAGUCUUUGAUGGCCAUGAGUGCCUUAGACCAGGUUUGGCUGACAAACCAGGCAAAUUUCUGAGUGAGCAAGGUCUCCAACUUCAUCUCUUAGGGAUCGCUAGAAAGAAGUCCACCUUGGAUUACACAAGGAGUUAGAGAUAUAAACUUUAUGUCCUAUUUCUGACACUAGGGCCCCUGAGCCUCUAGCACCCCUGUAGCGCAGGCAUCUUGUGUCAUUUGAUUUUUCCUCAAAGAAGAUACCCUUGGAUACUUUUGCAUCAAGUGCAGAAUGGGACCUUCACAGAAUAGAAAGUCAUGGACUGACUGACUGAUUGAUUUGUACUGGGGCUAGAACUCAGGGGUGCUUUUUACCCCAGCCUCUUUUUUUUUUUUGAAACAGGGUCUCAAUUGCUGAGACUGGCUUUAAACUUGUGAUCCUCCUACCUCAGCGUCUCAGGUCUCUAGGAUUACAGGUGUGCACCACUACAUCUGGAUUUAUAUUUUUAACUCAAAAGUUCAAUCUUGGCCAAGGCAAACCUUUAUUUCUUUUUUAAAUUUGUUUAUUUAUUUGUUCUAAUUUGUUAUACAUGACAGCAGAAUGCAUUUCAGUUAAUAGUACACAAAUGGAGUACAAUUUUUCAUUUCUCUGUACGCAAAGUAGAGUCACACCAUUCGUGUCUUCAUACAUGUACCUAGGGAAAUGAUAUCCAUCUCGGUCUACCAUCUUUCCUACCCCCAUCAAGGCAACCUUCUUUUCAUAUCAGUUUCUGACCUAUAAAAUGAUACUAUUAACUAAAUAUGAAAACUAAUAGUAUGGAGCUCUAUGAAAAAAAACUUUCUAUAUAUAGUCUUUAUGAUUCCAUGGCUCAGAACUCUAGUAUAAUUUCCACAGCAGGAGUUUAUGUGAAUCUAGGGGCAGUUUAAGGUGCUUAGUGUGAAUGACUGGUAUGGGAGUCAAGAGGGUGGUGACAGGCCAAAGAGAAUAGGUAUUCAAGAGACCUAGUCCAAACAUCUAUGAAGAAGACCCAAAUCAUAAGAGGCCUUCUCUCCUUCCUUGUUACUCUCUAAAGGCCAGAGGAGGUGUUUGAGACUGCAUCUCAAAACCUGUCAUGUGGUAGGCAACUUGGGGACCCUAGUGGAGCAAGCGAACUGAUGAAUCCUGCGCAGUGUCAGACAUCUGACCAAAUAAUUGGGGGAGGUAUUUCAGUAACCCUUGACUUUCCUUAACUUGCCUGAGUACUGAAUUAUGGUAAUAGUUACCUUUUUGUUGUUAAUUAGCUCUCCUGUAUAUCAGGAACUUUAAUAUGUAUUGUCUAAUAGUCACAAUGACCUUGCAAGGUAGAUCUCCAUUUUACACAAGACAGUUGAGGCACAGAGAGGAUAAAAAACUGCCAAGGCAUCUUUAACUACUCAGUGGUAGAGUGUACUUGGGCAUAGGUCUGUUUCAUGUCAAACUCAAACUCUACAUUUCUGGUUUGUCUCUAGUGGAUUAGUUUAGACUACAAAAGAACCCAGGCACUGGGCCACCAGAGCUUGCUGCCUCUGCCUCACAUUCCCUUGAUGCUGAAUGUGACAGAUGAACACUUUAUACCUUGGUUUACUUCUCAGUCACUUGGGGAUUUGGGAUUGAUGAGGAGAAGGCCUCAGAUAGCUUUUAAGAGGUGCAGCUAUUAGUAGUAACUUUAAAACCUUGCAUGAAGAAAGUUUCAUAGAAUACUAGUUAAUAACUUGAAUGAAGAAACUUCCAAUUUUAAAUGAACCCUGCAUAAAGAAUACAAGACAUUCUUGAGGAUAUAAUGGGGGAAAGAUCCUGAAAUUUUAAUUUUUUUACUUCGGUGGAAAAUCCAUAUGUUACAUGCAAAUGGGAUAAUUAGAAUGAGGUCAGACAUGCUAACACAAUACCCUGAUGUUUAUCUCAUGUAACUAAGUCUGCAGAGAAAGACUCAUUUGAAUAUGUCUUUUGUCCCCAUCUUUCUUUAUAUGAAACACAGAACAGCAUCUUUUGACAAAGGCCAAAUUCCUGAUGGGCAUCUCUGAGGAAGUAAACAUUUCCAAGAUUGCCAGAGCUAAAGGAGAUACCCAAAACAAGACUGAUUCUAUUGAAACUACAAGCAUAAUAUCUUAGGUUGAAGGGUUUCUCUACAUCUCUAAGAGGAAGUCACUGCUUCUCCAACCCCCACUUCACCUGUAGUAAGGAUUUGCACAUGAAGGAAUCUGUCUGACCAACUAUGUUUCCUCUCUCUCCAGAACCCCCACUCAGAGAAGAUGCCAAGACAUUCCUCUGUUUGCCCAUUAGCAGCCAGGGAUAUAUGCAAGCCAGUUUGAAGACUUCUGUGUUGAAAACAAAUAGUUGUGUUAUUGUGUAAGAGGAAGAUUGUGUGUGUGUCAUCAUUUUGUGCUAAGUCUUCUUUAAAUGAAAACUUGAUUAGUCCUAAGUCUAAUCCAAGUUUUCAUUUCAUUUCCUAUAAGUGAACCCCCUAUCCCCUAAAUCUAGUGUCUCUGUUCCGUCUCUGGCUUCUCUUUUUCCUUUAAUUCUGUGCAUCUUUCCAGACAUUUCCUGUGUAUGGAACACUGGGUAGGGAACGAAGGAAACAUAAGAUAAAAAGUGAUCCUUGUUUCUGAGCACCUCAGAGUUUUGUGUGGGGAGGUAGACACAUAAACUCCAUUUCCCUGAGGUUUGGGGUUUUGAGCUCAUCACCACCCUCCCCCUGUAGUUUCUCUUAUUCCUGUUUUGUUUUAUUUUUAAUAUAUUUUUUAGUUGUAGUUGGAUACAAUACCUUUAUUUUAUUCAUUUUUAUGUGGUGUUGAGGAUCAAACCUAGCGUCUCGCACGUGCUAGAUGAGCGCUCAACCGCUGAGUCAUAACCCCAGCCCGUUCCUGUUUACUUUAAGGUGGGGAACAUUCUAUUUAUGCAUUUGGGAAAUCCUGUAUUACAGAGUAAUAGCUGCAAGUAAAAUUUGUUUAGCUCCUUUCACAAAAGAAGGGACAUUACUCUCCCUGUUGACUUACAGAGAAGAACAAACCCUGAUAAAGAUGGAUUCCAAACAGAGAUCCAAGGAGCAAGUCCUCAUUGCGCCAUCAAUAGGCUGUCACCCAAGCCAGCGCUGGGAUGGGCCAAAUAAAGGGAACUCAGUGAUCUUAGGGCCACACUCUCCUUAACCUGCUCUCCCAAACCUGAGGUGUUGACUUUGGCAGUGGGGAACUGGCCACUUGCCUGCAGCUCACUUAAUGAAAUUAAAAUCUAGAGUGGAUGGGGAGAGGGAGGCAUUUUAACAACAAUCAGAAGGGUCUGUACUAUGUCAGGAUAAUCAGGAUGGCAGAGAAAAGACAAAGUAAUGCCAUUUCCAAUGAAUGCAAAGACAUGAAGAGACAAAUCAAGUCUCUGAACAGCUCUGAUGUUGGUUUGUAACCACUGUGGGUAGAAAUACUCGGCUUCAUUCCAGUUUCCUUCACAUUGGCCAAACUCAGGUAGCCAGAGUCCCUGGUUAUCAUUCUGCCAUGUGCUGCAGUUGAUGCCUGUUCUCUCAUAGGUUUGAGCAGUUGGUUCUAUUUUUUUUUUUUUUUUUUUUUAGUUUUUCGGCAGACACAACAUCUUUGUAUGUGGUGCUGAGGAUCGAACCCGGGCCGCACGCAUGCCAGGCAAGCGCGCUACCGAUUGAGCCACAUCCCCAGCCCUGACAGUUGGUUCUUUAAACUGAGCUGGAUUGUGGCUGGAUUGGCCUUCUGUCAGUCAGGUCCGUGCCUCAGUAAAACCGGCUUUCUGUAGGCUUCCUUUCCCAAAGGGAUUUUCCUGUGAAACCUUUCAUCAUAAUGUCAACUUCUGUCUCCUCAGAAAGUCAAAGUAAUGAAAUUAAACUUGAGUAUUUCUCUCUGGACUUGAUGUCCUACUCAAGGUAGACAGAUGUGUCAGAUCCCGUCAGGUUCACGUGUACAGCUCUGGAGAUGUCCAGAGUGGGGGUGCUCAGUGGCCAUCCAUCUGCAGAUUCCACAAUGGUUUUGAUUUCAACUCUGACCUAUUAUAUCCCCAAAACCUUGAAAAUACUAUUGGCAUCCAUGCUGUGUCUUCCAGACAGUCUCUCACACCCGGAAUCAGC
RNAcentral lists this long non-coding RNA (4253 nucleotides) under Marmota monax (woodchuck). The record is from RNAcentral. Lineage: Eukaryota; Metazoa; Chordata; Mammalia; Rodentia; Sciuridae.